CUCCUUCCCUUCACAAGCAUCAGUUGUAAGCGUGAGGACCAGCUUGCCACUUGGUGGUAUCUUUUCAGGUUCCUGUAUUGACCCCCCAACGCAGUGGAAUCUCUCAGGAACAGUCUUCCAGUCUUUUGCCAUCUUAACCAUUGCUCCUGCAUCUAGGACACCAUAGCCAAAUAAAUGAUUGAAUUCCAGCCCAACACCAUUCCUACGCCACCGAUGAACUUCGUCAUGAAGUUGGUUCCUUUUGGAGGUAAGCAAGGAGUGGGAAGGGAUCAACUCCACUCCGUCUUCUCAUGCCAUCCUAUGACUGGAAGAAGGACUGGAAAGAGGCAAAUACUACUGGAACAAGCUGAUAGCAG
RNAcentral lists this long non-coding RNA (356 nucleotides) under Gallus gallus (chicken). The record is from RNAcentral. Lineage: Eukaryota; Metazoa; Chordata; Aves; Galliformes; Phasianidae.